UGCCAGCAGCCGCGGUAAUACGGAGGGUGCAAGCGUUGUUCGGAAUUAUUGGGCGUAAAGCGCGUGUAGGCGGAGUGGCAGGUCUUCUGUGAAAUCCCUCGUCUCAAACGAGGAAUUGCAGGGGAAACCUUCAUUCUUGAGGCAGGUAGAGGCGAGUGGAACGUGUGGUGGAGCGGUGAAAUGCGUAGAUAUCACACGGAACGUCGGUGGUGAAAACGACUCGCUGGGCCUGACCUGACGCUGAGACGCGAAAGCGUGGGGAGCAAACAGGAUUAGAUA
Molecule: ribosomal RNA, 279 nt
Filed under: uncultured bacterium
Lineage: Bacteria
Description: partial 16S ribosomal RNA
Rfam family: Bacterial small subunit ribosomal RNA
Source: RNAcentral